Oryza sativa Indica Group (long-grained rice) is the source of this 207-nucleotide microRNA precursor. It matches the Rfam family "MIR812 microRNA precursor family". The record is from Rfam. NCBI's taxonomy places the organism in Eukaryota, Viridiplantae, Streptophyta, Magnoliopsida, Poales, Poaceae.
UAUAAAUACAACGAUAAGUUUUCAUACCCAAUUUUAAUCAUCCGUCUUAUUUGAAUUUUUUUUAUGAUUAGUAUUAUUAUUAUUAUUAGAUAAUAAAACAUGAAUAAUAAUAUUUUAUGCGUGACUUAUGUUUUUAAUUUUUUUUAAAAAAAAUUAAAUAAGACGACCGAUUAAAAUUAGGUACGAAAAGUUAUGGCUACACUUAAA